This 473-nucleotide long non-coding RNA is filed under the name Equus caballus (horse). RNAcentral describes it as "lncRNA (ENSECAG00000059741.1)". Lineage: Eukaryota; Metazoa; Chordata; Mammalia; Perissodactyla; Equidae. The record is from RNAcentral.
GAGUUUCAUUGUUUUGCUGCUCCUUCUUUCGAUUGUAUAAAUAGGAGCAGUGUGGGCCUUCCUAAGGAGGAAGAAGAGUGCAGGGACACAUUAACUUUAAAACAUCAGUUUUAUCCUGAUACUAAAACAGUGAAAGACCUGGAAAGAAGAGAGAGCUACGGACCAAUCUCCUUCAUGAACAUAGAUGCAAAAAUUUUGAACAAAAUGCACAGCUGGGUCCAGAGCUAAAGGGUCAGCCAGCCCUGAGGUGGAAUGCAAGGAGUACCAAGCACUAUAUGAGGUGUGUCUUUUAAUGUGCUUUCCAACCUUGGUAGGUUCUGAUUCCAGCCUUGAAAACCACCACACCUGCGAGCCAAGAAUAAUUUCCAUAAAUCCUGCCUUUCCUGGUUAUGAAUUUGUGUUUGGGGAUGAAGUUAGAGCACUUGGCUAUCUUUAGACGUUUGUAAUCUUUUUGAAUUGUAUGAAGAAUAAGG